This 396-nucleotide ribosomal RNA is filed under the name uncultured bacterium. RNAcentral's name for it is "partial 16S ribosomal RNA". It matches the Rfam family "Bacterial small subunit ribosomal RNA", at positions 523 to 918 of the family's 1533-position model. The record is from RNAcentral.
AUACGUAGGUGACAAGCGUUAUCCGGAUUUACUGGGCGUAAAGGGCGUGUAGGCGGUCUUGCAAGUCAGAAGUGAAAUUCCUGAGCUCAACUCGGGCGCUGCUUCUGAAACUGCAGGACUGGAGUGCAGGAGAGGUAAGCGGAAUUCCUAGUGAAGCGGUGAAAUGCGUAGAUAUUAGGAGGAACACCAGUGGCGAAGGCGGCCUGCUGGACGACAACUGACGCUGAGGCGCGAAAGCGUGGGGAGCAAACAGGAUUAGAUACCCUGGUAGUCCACGCUGUAAACGAUGAAUACUAGGUGUGGGGGGACUGACCCCCUCCGUGCCGCAGUUAACACAAUAAGUAUUCCACCUGGGGAGUACGAUCGCAAGAUUGAAACUCAAAGGAAUUGACGGGG